CAAGUUUGUCCAACCCACGGCCCAUGGGCCACAUGUAGUCCAGGAUGGCUUUGUAUGCAGCCCAACACAAUUUGUAAACUUUCUUAAAACGUUAUGACAUUUUUCUGAAAUUUUUUGACUAAUUUUGUAAU
Long non-coding RNA from Sapajus apella (tufted capuchin), 131 nucleotides. RefSeq lists it as uncharacterized. The transcript has 3 exons. Lineage: Eukaryota; Metazoa; Chordata; Mammalia; Primates; Cebidae. The record is from RefSeq and is a predicted model, not a curated record.